This 465-nucleotide ribosomal RNA is filed under the name uncultured Klebsiella sp. RNAcentral's name for it is "bacterial SSU rRNA". It matches the Rfam family "Bacterial small subunit ribosomal RNA", at positions 338 to 795 of the family's 1533-position model. The record is from RNAcentral. Lineage: Bacteria; Pseudomonadati; Pseudomonadota; Gammaproteobacteria; Enterobacterales; Enterobacteriaceae.
CCUACGGGAGGCUGCAGUGGGGAAUAUUGCACAAUGGGCGCAAGCCUGAUGCAGCCAUGCCGCGUGUGUGAAGAAGGCCUUCGGGUUGUAAAGCACUUUCAGCGGGGAGGAAGGCGUUAAGGUUAAUAACCUUGUCGAUUGACGUUACCCGCAGAAGAAGCACCGGCUAACUCCGUGCCAGCAGCCGCGGUAAUACGGAGGGUGCAAGCGUUAAUCGGAAUUACUGGGCGUAAAGCGCACGCAGGCGGUCUGUCAAGUCGGAUGUGAAAUCCCCGGGCUCAACCUGGGAACUGCAUUCGAAACUGGCAGGCUAGAGUCUGGUAGAGGGUGGUAGAAUUCCAGGUGUAGCGGUGAAAUGCGUAGAGAUCUGGAGGAAUACCGGUGGCGAAGGCGGCCCCCUGGACAAAGACUGACGCUCAGGUGCGAAAGCGUGGGGAGCAAACAGGAUUAGAUACCCGUGUAGUC